CUCGGUGUUGGACAAAAAGUGGUGCAGCUUCUUCAACCCCAUCACCCUGCAGUCGGUCACGUCUAUGUUCAUCGUGUUCAUCCGAAGUCUUCACUGCGGCAGAGGAAAAGCUCACCAUCAUCAAAAUUAGGGCAGCAACAACAAACUUCAUUAUCCUGCAAGCUUCAGGGAGAGUUGCAUGAGAGUAUGAAGACGGAAGGAUGAAGGACUGCAGCAUGGUUGCUACAACCGCUCGGGCUUCCGUUUAUCGUCCUCGACGGCGCUGCAAAUGUUUCCACCAAUGGAGAAGAGGAAGGAGGGCGCUGCCUUCACUCUGUGAGGUAUGUUUUAUUGCUGAGGACGGUUUGCCGCAUAUAUAAAUAUAUAUAUAUAUUUUUUAUUUUUUAUAUAGUGCUCUGUCAGGCUGAGGUUGCUAAACCGGCGAAGAACCUAGGAAGGCAUCAAAAGUCUGCUCUGCUUGACUCGGUCAGAGAAAGUGAAUGCGAGUGCAGGUUCGAAUGACAAGGCCGAGUUGCUUUCCCCGUCUUCAACCGCUGCAGCUUCAUUCUUGUUGCUACAGGUUUGUCUUUGUUGUGGCUUGGAGAGAGAGACGUCGCUGCAAAGGAGAGAGAGAGAAACACCACAUCUGGAUUCAGAUUUUGUGCAUCUGCAGGUCUUCCUUUCGUUUGUGGGUGACUGUGCAACUUUUAUGAGAGGAAGAAGAAGAGUCAACGGAAAAGAAGGUGUUUGCGGACGAGGUCGCGUGGCUGACUUGGAGGUCCACUUGCUUCGGGUGUGCGCACCAUGUGUUGCAGGUGGGGUUUUGCUGUGUAAUGCCUUUUGGUCACAGUUUUCCCUUGGUGGUGACGUUGGCGUAGUGCUCACCUUUGUAAUAUGGCUUUGUAACCAAAUCAUUUCUUUAAAGAAAUAAAAUAUUCAUAUCUUGAAUUGCUAUUUAUUCUUCAAAGUGUUUGUGUUUUUGUUGGUGAUGUGACUGUACUUGAAGUUUUGAAGUUUCAAGUUGCCUACGUACCCCCGGUUGAUGAGGGAUCAAGUCAUAACGUAGUUCAAAUGAACGAUGAUUUUUUUUUUAUAGUGAUUUUGAUGAUGAUUUUGCCGUACACAGUUUAUGCUCUUGUGGGCCAGGAGCCUUGUGCCGUGUGCAGUUUAGGCUCAUGCAGGCUAGGAGUCUGGUCGUCGCCUUUUAGGGGUAGUAACGCUUCAAGAAUCUGCCAUUGAUGGGACCGAUCUUCAAGCCGUCCUCUGCCAUGAUUAAGUAGGCGCCGCUUAUGUAGACCUCUUGUAUUACGUACGGUCCAUCCCACUUUGAUGUGAACUUGCUUUUUGUCUUGUGAGUUGUGAUGAUAGGCCUUCGUAAUGCAAGGACGAGAUCUCCAGUUUGGAAAGACCUUGGGCGGACCUUCUUGUUGAAUGUUUUGGAUAGCCGUGCUUGGUAGCAUUCCAGGUGUUGUUGAGCUUCGAGCCUUCUUUCGUCAAGUGAUUCCAACUCUUGAAGGCGCAACUUUGCAUUCUCUUCAUCAGUCAAACCUUCUUGUAUAGCCAUCCUAAGUGAGGGGAUUUGACUUUCUAGCGGUAAAACAGCUUCCACGCCAUAUACGAGAGAAUAAGGGGUAGCUUGGGUAAGAGUCCUAUGCGUCGUCCUAUAUGCCCAAAGUGCUUCGCUUAUUCUUUCAUGCCAGUCCCUCUUUGUUCGGCCGAUCACCUUCUUUAAGAGGUUGCACAAUGUUUUGUUGAAUGCUUCCGCGAGACCGUUGGCCGGAGCAUGAUACAUGGAAGACUUGUGCUGCUUGAACUUGUAUUUCUCACAGAGCUCGUCUACAAGUCGGUUGGAGAACUGUUUUCCAUUGUCCGUGAUAAUGUAGCGAGGCACACCAUAUCUGUGGAUGAUAUGUUCUUUGAUGAAACGGACAACAGUUUCCUUUUUUACUUCCCUUAGGGGUAUGGCUUUCAGCCACUUGGAAAAGUAAUCUGUUGCAGCUAGGAUGUAGGCUUCUCCUGCAGAUGACUUUGGAGUAAUUGGUCCCACGACGUCCAGUCCCCAUGCAUCGAAUGGCCACGAAGCAGUUGUAGGGUUGUAAUGGUUCAGGUGGUUGAUGUAUGAAGUUGGCGUGGAAUUGGCAAGCUUGGCACCUUUUGGCAUGUUCCAGGCAAUCCUUCACCAUACUUGGCCAGUAGUAACCCAUUCUUUUGAGCUGGAAAUGUAGCUUUGGUCCAGAUUGAUGCGCCCCGCACACGCUUGAGUGCGCUUCUUCCAUGGCUUGAUUGGCUUCUUCCUCACCUAGGCAUCUCAGAAGUACUCCUUCG
Molecule: long non-coding RNA, 2304 nt
Filed under: Malus domestica (apple)
Lineage: Eukaryota; Viridiplantae; Streptophyta; Magnoliopsida; Rosales; Rosaceae
Description: long non-coding RNA (MDOM_LNC019141)
Source: RNAcentral